Molecule: long non-coding RNA, 2440 nt
Organism: Chinchilla lanigera (long-tailed chinchilla)
Lineage: Eukaryota; Metazoa; Chordata; Mammalia; Rodentia; Chinchillidae
Exons: 6
Source: RefSeq, a predicted model, not a curated record
ACCUAUUGCUCACCCUCAGAUUUCCUGGAGCUGCCUCCCAUUGGCCAAACCCAACUAGAAGCCAGAGGAUGGAUGUGAUGAGGCGGCCUUCCUGAUGACUGGCCCUGCAUUGAGUUCAGAGGCAAAUGUCAACAUCUGCAUGGAGACUGGACAGCAAUUAAAAGAAGUAACUUGCCACCGCAAGUGUUACCUCCUGUCUAGUUGGUCACUACCUUCUCCAACUUGCAUACCUGCCAUCUCCAUGACACCUGAGUCCUUUGCUCAAGGCAUAUUCAGCAAAUGAUACCUAUGUGUCGAUUUGGAGCAGGCACUGUGCUUGGUACUGAAGACUCAGAAACUGGGAUCCUGACCAUCAGCUAAAAGACCAGCACAAAAGCAAGCAAACAGGCAUCACCUAUGACAGGUUCAUGCACUGGCUCCUGGCGACCCGAGUUUGAAAACUUGGAUGGACAGAUGAGUAGCUGAAUGUGUAGCUGUGAAGAGUGAGCCUCAUGGUCCCUGUGGAGGACAAAUACUGACUGAGAAGGUUGCACAAAAAUAACUUGGCAGUGUGCGAAGUCAUUGGAUAGCAACUGUGCAACUGAAGAAACAAACAAGGAGGAAAACUCAGGGAGAUCUAAUGUGAAGAAGAGAAGCAUCCGAGUAUCCUCUGCAGAGUAAUCUUCGCACAUCAUCAGGUUCUUAUCACAUGGCUCUUGUGAUCAUGAGAAUCAACCAGUUUGAUGAUGUUCCAAACCUCAGAAUAUAGAGCAGUGGUGGAAACCACAAGAACCAAGAUGGAGACUUGACCAAAGGAAAUAACUUUCAGUGGUCAUCUACAUUGUCUGGUGAUAUCCCAUGUCAUGAGGCACAAACUCCUGUCAUGAGGCUGUUCGAGCUCAAGCUGAAUGAGUGCUGUCCAGAUGUUAUGGAAGGAAGAAUGACUGGAUCCUUCUCUCUACAUGACACUUCUUACCCCAGAGGAGAGGCCACAUUCUUCACCACAGGCAACAGCUGUCCCUAAUCACUAUUAACUGCAGCUCACUUCCUGGGAAGACACUAGUGCAGGCUCUUUCUGUUCUCGUGUUUCUCCUAUAAGUUUCAUCGCAUUGCUGCAUGUACAUAUUGUGUUGCACUGAUUCUUCCCUUAGAGCACUGAACCCUGUUCCCACUGCAUUAUAGCUGUUUAGGGAUGGCUAGAUAUUGUCUGCUAAGAGAGCACCAAAUGUGUGUGCACAAAGGCUCAUAGGCCAGUGGGGUGUUAAUCUCACUGAACCUCACUUUCCUUACUUCCUGUGGUUUGAAGGAUUCAAAAAGCUUAGAAUAUGGUAUGCCACAGCCAGAUCCUUUUCCAAUCCACCACAAAUAGAAAAACAUCUUUGACAAAUUCAUGUCUUAUUCAUCAGGAAUGCUCUUCCUCAUUUGUUGCCAAUCAUCUGAUAAACAGUCUACCUGCAUAGAAACUUUCUUGGACAUACCUGGUUCCUGUGUGGGUGUGUAUGUGUGUGUGUGUGUGUGUGUGUGUGUGUGUGUGCAUGUGCACACAUGUGCUAGCAAUAAUGGGUGGAAGGCUACAGUAUAAUGAGACCUAUAGGAGCAGACAGUGAACAGGAAAGAGUCUUGAACUCAUCUCCCUCUAGGCAGUGAACUGUGGUCAGUGGUAGCUGGGGCAGUUGCUGCGGGCAGCAGGUUGUUCUGGGUACAGAGCCCUGUAUGUGCAGCUCUCUGUCUCAUACCUGUCAGGUAGGCACUGGGUGCCUCAGGUGCAGAGCAUGGAAAACAUAAAUGCAAGUCUGUUCUUAAACAUACCACAUAGUGAACUUUCUCUACUAUGCGAGGCAGGCCAAGUAGUGAUUUUUGGAGCUUUUAAAAGCUCACUGGCCCUUCAAAAAUGGCUAUUGUGGACAUCAGGUUUUAGAAGUUUUUUAAAAAAGCUAUAGGGCUUAUUUUUAGAAUAAACCUUAACCCUGGAAAGCUUCUUAAAGGAGCCACAGAACCUCAGCCAGCUGUUCCCAGAGGUUCCAACAUUACUUUUUCUUGUGCUUGAUGUGAAUAUCACGAGGUUGAGCCAAACCUAAGGGAGGCUACUCUUGACAGGAUGUGUCCUUGGAGCCAGAUAUCUGCACUAGGAGUUGUCCAUGGAAGCAGUGAUUGCUGACCAUAGCUGAAGUCUCAAAAUUGGAAGGGAAGUGAUUCUGUGUGACCUAAGAGGCUGGAUUCCGAAAAGGAGGACUUCCACCAGGCUGCUUUCUCUUUCUGAGGAGUCUGACACCAUGCUGAGAAGAUACUCAGGCAACCACAGAGAGGCCAAAUGGGGAGAACCGAGGCUUCUUUCCUACAACCAGCACCACUAUUCCAGCCAAGUCACAGAUUCUUCAGCCUCGGCUAAACCUUCAGAUGAUGCAGACCUGGCAGACACCUCUCCAUAGUUUCUUAUUUCCUAAAUGUGCAAUGCAAUAAA